UAAUUGAAAAGUUAAUCCUGCAGUUAUGUAUGAUAUAAUUAAAGCCAGAACCAGUGUAGGGGCAUUCAUAUUUUGUGUUAUAAUUUAAUUAAAAAACUUUAGGGCGCCACUUUAUUUUCAUGAAUGUGCAAUUUCAUCACAAAAUGUAUCAUUCCUGGCACUAUAUGCUUGAUUGCGAUGCUGAAAAUUAUCAUAAUGUGCAUAUUCUGAACUAUCUAUGAUUCGUAUGUGUUGCUAAUGUGGUUUAAGUUAGCGAAGCUCUUGGUUUACAUGCCAAAGUCACCUGAUUUUCCGUUCCAUUCCAUUGAAAAAAAAUUCGAAAUUAUCGCAGAACUAGCAUUAUUAGCCAUUCUUUAUCUCCCCUGAUAGUCAGUGUCCUCAAAAAUCGUUUGCCCAAGCAACCGCUUUAAUUAUCUACAGAAAAAAAAGAAAAGUAGACUCCGAAAAGGCAAGCAAAAAAGGGAAUAGGGAAAUGUUAAUAGAAGGCAGAAUGAUUAUUGUUCCCCCAUUUGAUUUUUGCAGACGAAGGGACAAAACUUUGCCUGUCGUCUGGCUAUGCCCGGUUCCUGUCGCUUCCAUCCAGCCGCCUAGGGCCCCAAACGGUAGGAAUGCCAGCGGAAAUGCCAAGCGGUAGCGACGACUAAUUGGCAGAGAGUUUAUCCAUACUGAAUGGCAUGAGUUGAGCGGGGUAAAGCGAGGGAAUACAGCGCUAAACGUAGGUGCAAAAUGAAACGGCAAAAAUAGAUUGACCGUGCAAAAACAAGAGAACUGAAAUAAUGGAGAGAGAGAGAGAGAGCGAUACAAAUCGAGAGUUAGAACGCGUAAGGGAGACGAGUGCGGCGCUCACUGAAUCGGUUAAGAGUACCGCAAGCCCAGUUUUGAAAAGCAGCACGUGACCAUAUGGUCAUGGACGUCGGACUCGGUUCGAUCGGCGUUUAUUUCAGCUAGACCUGGCAGACAAGCCAAAAGAGAGCGCUGCAAAAGACAAAAGCGAGACUGAGGAGAGAGACUGGCCAACAGUUGGGUGAGCAAGAUAGCAGACAAGCGGCGGCAAAUGCCUGGAAACAGAUCAGAAUGCUUUUUGCAGUGGACACUGGCUAAA
RNAcentral lists this small RNA (1102 nucleotides) under Drosophila pseudoobscura pseudoobscura. Its description in RNAcentral is "GA32707". The record is from RNAcentral. Lineage: Eukaryota; Metazoa; Arthropoda; Insecta; Diptera; Drosophilidae.